Heterocephalus glaber (naked mole-rat) is the source of this 755-nucleotide long non-coding RNA. The record is from Ensembl. NCBI's taxonomy places the organism in Eukaryota, Metazoa, Chordata, Mammalia, Rodentia, Bathyergidae.
GACAACCUUAAGACUCAAAAGUUUGUGCAUCUCAUCAAGAGGAGGGGUAUACAGCAGGGCAAACAACCCCAUGCCUUCCUGACAUCCAGUUCCUGACUUUAGCAAGUGAUAAAGCCCCAUUACUUACCUCCGAUGCAUGCCUCUUCAUCUGCCAUGUCACUCAACAGCUAUCAGCUGGCUUGAACACCCAAAAAGAAAACUUCAAAGUACCAAGAUUUCCAGAUUGAGGAGUAUUCAUUCAAAAGGUUCUAUGGGAAUGUCUGAGAAUCAAUUCUGAAUGCUUGAUGGCAUGAAGUGAUUCUUGAUGGUUGAAUCUUAUGAAUAAUGGAUUGAUCCUCCCAAGGGGUUCAGGAAGAAACAUGAGGAAGCUGAUCUUUGGCUGAGAAGGGAACAUGGAAGUAAUUUGCUGGUGUCAUGUAGAAGAUUAGCCUCUGGAGAAAUUUGGAAACAAAGAAAAUCCUCUGGAUAUGGAGCUUUCAAUAUAAAGCCCUUGUGAUGCCCAUACAACUUGGCUGGGGGAAGCACAUCAAGGAUCCAAGAUUUACAAGUUGACCCUGAACAGUAGCUAACUGUGACUGAACAAACGAAAUGAAACCUUGAUGGGCUCUACUGAUUUGGAAUUUAGAACUGAAGUAUGUUACAUAACACUUCUUAUACAUAACUGAGCCCAAGUCAAUGGAAAGAGCCAACCAAACCAGCAGUGUCUCUGAGUUCAUCCUCCUGACACUCUCCUCUCGGCCUGAGGACCAAAAGCC